This 253-nucleotide ribosomal RNA is filed under the name uncultured bacterium. RNAcentral describes it as "partial 16S ribosomal RNA". It matches the Rfam family "Bacterial small subunit ribosomal RNA", at positions 524 to 776 of the family's 1533-position model. The record is from RNAcentral.
UACGAAGGGGGCUAGCGUUGUUCGGAUUUACUGGGCGUAAAGCGCACGUAGGCGGUCUUUUAAGUCGGGGGUGAAAUCCUGGAGCUCAACUCCAGAACUGCCUUCGAUACUGGAAGACUUGAGUCCGGGAGAGGUGAGUGGAACUGCGAGUGUAGAGGUGAAAUUCGUAGAUAUUCGCAAGAACACCAGUGGCGAAGGCGGCUCACUGGCCCGAUACUGACGCUGAGGUGCGAAAGCGUGGGGAGCAAACAGG